RNAcentral lists this ribosomal RNA (254 nucleotides) under uncultured bacterium. RNAcentral describes it as "partial 16S ribosomal RNA". It matches the Rfam family "Bacterial small subunit ribosomal RNA", at positions 524 to 776 of the family's 1533-position model. The record is from RNAcentral.
UACGUAGGGGGCGAGCGUUGUCCGGAUUUAUUGGGCGUAAAGAGCUCGUAGGCGGUUCGGUAAGUCGGAUGUGAAAUCUCCACGCUCAACGUGGAGGGGCCAUUCGAUACUGCCGUGACUCGAGUCCGGUAGGGGAGUGUGGAAUUCCCGGUGUAGCGGUGAAAUGCGCAGAGAUCGGGAGGAACACCCGUAGCGAAGGCGGCACUCUGGGCCGGUACUGACGCUGAGGAGCGAAAGCGUGGGGGGCAAACAGG